This 37798-nucleotide long non-coding RNA is filed under the name Panax ginseng (ginseng). Its description in RNAcentral is "long non-coding RNA (PGIN_LNC001545)". Lineage: Eukaryota; Viridiplantae; Streptophyta; Magnoliopsida; Apiales; Araliaceae. The record is from RNAcentral.
AAAAGAAAUUAAUUAUUAAUGUGGAAAUUACUAGUUUACCCUUUUGUCCAUUUGGUGUAUUAUUGUGAAUUAUUGUCACCAAUUAUUCCACAAAAGCUAGACAUCUAGAAUUUACCUAUAAUACUAUAGCAUUACUAGCCCUAAUCAUCCAUUACAAUUAUUCCAUACAAGGCUUGUUAGAUUAAAGAGAGAGAGAAAGUGUAUUAUUGCUCAAUUUUUUCUCUCUUGCUCUCACCAAAAGAAAAUCAAAUAAAGAGAGAGAGGAAGGGGUGAGUUCGGCCACUUCCAUGGAGGGAGAAGAGAGGGUCCUUUGAUGUACAAUAACUUAAAUCUCCUACUUUGGAAAGCAAAGAAAGAGGGCCAUCAAAAGCAAGAGGAUUAUAGCUAAAGGUAAAAAUUUCCUAAACUCAAAACUCUAGUUAGUUUAUGGUUGACCAAGUGUUGAACUUAUGAUUUUGAGUCAUAUGAGGGUAGGUCUACAUGAUAUAUGAUAUUUUAUGGUUAGAUCUUGCCAUUUUUAAGGUUGAUGAGCUUGAACAAAGAAGAAGAACCAAAACAGUUUUUUAAAAAAUAAUCUAGUGGACUGCUGCCCCUAAACAGAAAAUUCGGGAUUUGUUAGGUUGCUCUAAAAAUUCUGGGCUUUUGGUAUGUUAUAGUAUACUCAAUAAGCUUUCUAUAGACUCUGAAACGGACAAAAUCCGACAUCGGAGGAGAGAGUUAUGAAAUUUCUCCCAAACUACUCAAAGGGAAGAAAAACUGUUAGAGCAACAGUUUUUAACAGCCACUUCCGGGCUAAUUUCCGGGAGCUUAACAUAUCCAAAUAUGGAUUGUGAUAGAUGAAAAUUGUAUAUCGGAAAGAUAAGAAUCCAACAAAAUUGACGGAUCAUUAAUCGGAGUUAUAGAUCUCAUUUUAUUUAAGAUUUAGUAAAGGACUCCAAAACUGUUUUUGACAAAAAGUAAGCUGAUAAUAUUUUGUGAGGGCUGUUUUGUCAACUUUUCUUGUGAGGAAAAAUUCGACCUUUUGGGAAAUGAAAAUAUAUGGUAUUAAGUACCUCGUGUCCAAAAAUGAGCUCAUUCCGACUUAAAAUGACUGAGUUAUGACCAUUUUAAUUUUUGUGAUUUUCCGACGAAAACGGCUAUAACCGGAGUUCUACAACUCCGAUUGCCACGAAAUUUAAAAUGGAGCAUCACGUUAACAUAUAUAAGGUUAUGUCAAAAGAUGGGCAUCUCUGGAGUUAAGCACGAGGUAGCUAAUUUUCUUAAGUCACGCACUAAUUAUGAUUUUUGAAAAAUAGAAUUAAUGUUUUAAAAAUCAUAUAAAAAUGAUUUAAGUGUUAGAAAAAUAUUUUAAGUUAUAAAUUAUAACUUUUGAGAUUUUGGCAUGAAAAUAUUAAUAUUUUAUUAUUAAUAUCAAUUAUCGGAUAAUGAAUUUAAGUGUUUAAAAAUCACAUAAAUGUGAUUUUAAGGUAUUAAAAAUACCGUGAUAUAUUAUAAAUAUAUUAUAAUAUUAUGUUAUGAUUUUUAUUAAUAUUUAAUGAUAAAUAGAUAUUAAUGAUUAAAGAAUUAGGUGGUAUUUAAUUCAUUUAAAUACGUUAUUAAUGAUCGGAAAAUUUAGAUAAAAUAUUAAUUAUCCGAAAAUUAUUGCAAGACUAUGAAAAAUGUUUUGACUGAUAAGAAAAUUAUCUGUGAUAUCGUCAAGUGUUUAGACAGAGUUUAAUUAAACUUAGACUCGUUAAUUGUCCGACUAGACCGUCGGGAUGAUAGAGUUGUACCGAUUUCAACUCGGACUGAAAUAGUCUGACUUGAUGCUAUGUCCUAUGUGUAUAAGAGACUGAUAGGAGUAAGUGGUAAUAUGUUUAAGUUAUUUUAUAACAGAGAUGAUAUUAUUCUAAUAUUGUAGAUCUAUAUUAUUAAUAUUAGGUCUUCGGGAGAAGCUUAUUAUAUUGCAUUACGGUAAUUAACGGUUCAGGCAAGUUCUUUUUACUUAAACUCUUUUAAGAGUGGUUUCAGACAGAUAUGAUUAUGAAUUGUACUCUUUACAUAUUGCAUGUAUUCAUCAGGUAUGAAAGGCUGAUCACCUUCAUUACCAGUCGUUCCAGAUAUAAUUGUUAUGUUCAUUUUUAAUGUUCAUUCAGCUUUGAAAUUUUGUUCAUGCUAAUUCACAACUACAUUGUGAAGGAUAGCCAGCUUAUUAUUCAAACUCUUUCCAUCAUGAUAUAUCUUUACCUUGCUUUUAAACUUGCUGGGCAACUUUCAUGCUCACCCUUGCUAUAUCAUGAUAAAACAUUGCAGAUAAGGCGAAUACGGCCAGAUACAGAAAAAGGAUAAUGCCAAGUUCAGCUUGGUACAGAGUGUGAAGUUAAGUUGUAAAGUAUGUUGAAGAAUAGUAUUGUCAUGUGCUAGAUAGUUCAUGAUUGUGUAUAAGUGAAGGUUACUCGAUUCUGGGGAAAUGUGUGUAAAGUUUAAUGUAUAAAUAAUUUAUAUUUAUAUCUUCCGCAAACAGUUGUAGAAUUAGCGAACCGGAUCCGCGGCGAUUCGGGGCCGCUACAGUUAUCAUGGUAGUGAGAUCUCUCAGGGAGGGUCAUCCAUUAUUCUGAUGAUUGUGGCAGAGACACUGAGGUCAGCUACGUAUUGCCACAUCUAUCCUGCAGGGGUGUUUAUAGGCAGCUCGGUCUUGUUAUACGUGUGGUUCAUGUCACACUUGAGACUGAUUGGCACAUUCCGACGACAUGGGUAUUGUUUUUCCCAUGAGAUAGCCAUGUCUUACUCCUUUCAUCCAGCGGAGUGUGUAGACGCUGCAUCCUGGUUGGUGUUCUUGGCAGGGAUUAAAGAUCUAUUUGACAUUAUGUCGUGUUCAGGGCUUAGUUCACCCUAUAGCUUCACUACUCAUGCAUUGGGCAUAGAUUAUCUCCCUCUGGCUGGUUUGAGGGGCAUGACCACAUAUUACCCACUGGCCGUGAUGUCACAGUUUGACCAGUUUUAGGAGGUGCAUUCUUUUGAGGGGGCGUCAGGUCAGCGUUUUGCUUCUCGCCAUUUGUCAGCAGAGGAUAGAUACAUGGUGUAUGUAUGUUGGGAUCAACGUGAGAGUGCUGAGUUUUCUGUUAGCCAUCCGGGCUGUUCGACCGAGUAUUCUGCGUGGAUGGAGAUAGAGACUGCAUCGGCUGCGGUAGUAUCCACAGUGUCGGGGAUUGAGCUAGAUGGUGGAGAGCCCAUGGAGCACAAUGAUUCUCACACCGAGGAGGAUCCAUUCACUGGGUUGCUAGCGGCUCUUGCAGAUUCUCCCAGUAUGAGUGCUACUGUGAUUUAACAUUCAGCACAGUAUUUCGAGUAGAGUCUUCAUCUGAUGACCUUCGAGAGAGAUUAGGCUAGGUCCUUGAUGUUGACAGCUCUUGAUGGGAAAGACGUUGCUCUGUCAGAGAGAGAUGAGGCAUUAGCUCAUAGAGAUGCUGCUGUUGCUGAGCGGGAUGAGGCCAGAUCAUCUAGAGAUAUAAUGAUUGUGGAGUGGGAUAACACUAUAUCUGCUCGAGAUAUCGCUGUUACAGAUAGUACUGCAGUGAGGUCCCUUAUUUCUGGCAUCAUUACAGAGAUGGGCAGGUAUAUUGAUGAGCAUAGUGCCACCAUGCAUUUGGCUGUAGAUCUGUUGACUCGUAUAGAGAUCCUUGGGCAGGAGAUCACAACGUUACCUCCUUCUUCUGAGAGGGAUGCCAUGUUGGGCUUGAUAGUCCGUAUACACACCGACUUGUGGAUGGGUUGUAUUUUCCUAUUCAGACUAGCUUAGCCAUUUUGUCAUGUACAGUACACAUUGUAUAUAUCAAACAUCAUUUAUAUAUAGCAGGGAAACAUAUUUUGAUCACUUCCCUUUUAGUUAUGCCUUAUUGCAUGCUUGAUAUUUGCCUGUUUCUCCAGGGCUUGUGAUCUUGAUGUAUUCUGAACUUCUCCUCGAUGGAUGGACAUUAAGAUAUCUCAGGAUUUUUCAGAAUGGAUCAUUGAUCUGUGUGUAUUCCCUACCAUCUUUAGUAUCUUGGUACUGGUUUCUGUAUGUAGAUGAGUGUGGCUUUCCUCUCUAAGAUUGACCGCACCACAGAUGGUCGCCAAUACUCCUUUGUAUGGGGGAGCCCAGUUAGUUCCAUCUCUUAUGGAUUGGUGUUUCUCUUUGAGGAAUCAAUCACAGCUUAGAUGGUCGCCGAGUCUCCCGUUUACAUGGGGAGGUCAGGUAGUUCCAUCCCUUUGGUCUGAAGCCGAUGAAAUGUGGUGGAUUGAAGGAUGAUCCCAGUACCGUUGACAAGUUUUUGUAUUUUGGUAGGGGGUAAGCUCGAACCAUGAAUGGCUACCUACGUAGUCCUAUUGAAGAGGAGAUUAGGUCUGCGUAGCUCGAACCUAGUGUGAAGGUUCAAUGCUGUAUGUGGCAAAGGGGUGUAGAGAUGUUUUUGUUGUUUUUGUUUUUGUAGUGAGAAGGGUGUAGAAAUGUUUUUGUUGUUUUUUCUUUUAUUGCGACCGGACCAUAUAAAAUGGCUGCCUACGUACUCCCGUGUAUCAAGGAGAUCAGGUCGACGUAGUUCGCCCCAUGUUCAGGACGGAUUGCAGCCAAAAAGUUUAUUCCCAUGUACAUGAUAAACUGAAGGUGUGAAAAGUUUGAUCCCUGGUGGGACAAACUGCAAGUGUGAAAAGUCUUAUCCCUGGUGGGACAAAACUGUAGAUGUGAAAAUUCUUAUCCUUGGUGGGACAAAACUACAGGUGUGAAAUGUUUUGAGAGCGAAGUUAUGUAAAGGAUCUGCUGAUCCAGAACCAGGCUGCUGGUUGGAAAAUGUGAUUGUCCCUGAUGGGGAAAAUGGGUGAAGAAAGGUUGUAUGUGAUGAGGUUUUAGAAAACCUGAGUUGACUGGGGAUCUAAUGAUCCAUAACCAGGAUGUUUUCUUGAUGGUAACUUCAGACAUAGUACCGUUUCACGGUGUCCUAGUUAAUAAGUUGUAAAAAUCCAUCACCAUCCAUCUCUUGCAAUCUGAAAGCGCCUCCUAUCAAUACCUCCUUGACAACAAAUGGGCCUUCCCAGUUUGGGGUGAAUUUCCCUUUGGACUGAUCUUGGUUGUCAAUGAUCUUCUUCAAAACUAAGUCAUGUUGUCUAAACUGCCGUAGCCGAACUUUUCUGUUGUAGGAUCUGACGAUCCUUUGUUGAUAUAAUUGACCGUGGAAGAUAGUAGCGGUUCACCUUUCAUCUAUUAGAGACAAUUGGUGAUACCUAUCUUGUAACCUUUGGUCCUCAUCCAGCUGAGCGUCUAUCAACACUCUAAGUGAUUCCAUUUCCACCUCUAUAGGGAGCACUGUUUCCAUCCCAUAGGUUAAUGAGUAGCGGGUUGCCCUAGUGGAAGUGUGCAUUAAUGUUCUGUAGGCUAACAGAGUCAGAGGCAAGCAGUCAGGCCAUCCUUUGUGAUUGGCGGACAUCUUUUGCAUGAUCUUUUUGAUGUUUUUGUUAGUCGCUUCAACAACACCAUUCAUCUUUGGAUGGUAGAUGACGGAGUUGAGAUGUUUGAUGUGGAAUUUACUGCAUAACUCCUCCAUCAUUUUGUUGUUGAGGUUCUUAGCAUUGUCUGAUACAAUUACCUCUGGUUGUCCAUAUCGACAAAUGACAUUAUUUCUGAUGAAAGAAAUGAUAACUUCUUUUGUAACCCUAGGGAAGGAGGCUGCUUCUACCCAUUUGGUGAAGUAGUCGAUCAUGGUGAAGAUAAACUGAUACCCAUUACUGGCUUUGGGCUCGAUGGGCCCUAUCACAUCCAUUCCUCACAUUGAGAAGGGCCAGGGCGAACUCAUAUUAUGGAGCUCCCUUGGAGCGGUGUGGAUAGCAUUCCCAUGAAUUUGGCAUUGAUAACAUCUCUUGACAUGAUCAUCACAGUCAGCUUUGAGAGAGAGCCAGUAAUGCCCUGUUCUUAGGAUCUUCUUUACAAGUAGGGGGCCGCUCAUGUGUGGGAAACAUACUCCACCAUGGAUUUCAUCCAUGAGCAACUAAGCUUGGUCCUUGUCCAGACAUCUGAGGAGACCUAGUCAUGUAUCUCUUUUAUAAAGUGCAUCUUCUCUUAGGUAGAAUUUCAUAGCUAGUCGAUGGAUUCGCCUUCUUUCAUUCGGACUCGCCUCAGCGGGUGUAGAUCCAUCUUGUAAGUACUCCUUGAUAUGCUGAUACCAAGGGUGUAAGAUAUGAGGUAGCUCAUCCGAUACUUCUCCAAUAUAAUUCCCAUAGGCUGGUGCCUUUUGUUGGGAAAAUGUGAGGGUUGACAUGUUUUUCUUGUCAAGUAUGUUGAUCAAGGAGGCCAAGGUUUCUAGCGCAUCCGCAAAGUCCUUCCUAUUCCGAGGAAUGUGGAGGAAGGAUAUUUCUUCGAACUUCGAGGCCAUUUGUAGAACCUGCCGAUGGUAAGGAAGCAAAUGUAGCUCUUUGGUGUGAUAGAUUCAUGUGGUUUGUCUGAUUACCAACUCGGAAUCCCCAAAGACAGUUAACCUCCUGAUGCCCAUUGAUUGAGCAAGUUUUAGCCCCAUAAUACAGCCUUCAUACUCAGCUGUGUUGUUGGUGUUGGCAAACUAUAAUUUGACGGUGAUGGGAUGCUUCUCCCCAUAACGAAUACUAGAACUGCUCCGGCUCCAUAGCAUGCCAUGUUUACAGCUCUAUCAAAAUACAUCUUCCAUGAUUGGUGUGUAUUGUCCUGAUUGUGUUGCUAAACUGUCAUUACCCCUUCAUCGGGGAAGUAUGUCUCCAAGGGAUUGAAAUCCCCUGAAGGUGCGGCGGCCAGUUGAUCCGCAAUUCCUUGACCUUUGACAGACUUUUGCGUCAUGUAGACGAUGUCAAAUUGUUGUAGGGUCAACUACCAUCUGGACAGUCGAUAAUUUAACAUGGGUUUACUGAACACGUACUUGAGAAGAUCCACGCAGGAUAUGAGAUGGGUUGUGUGACCAUGAAGGUAAUGCUGUAACAUCAUGGAAGCCCACGCUAAAGCGCAACAAGUUUUCUCAAUCAGAGUGUACUUGUGUUCACUGCUGCUGAAUCUUUUGCUGGGGUAGUAGAUAGCUCGCUCUUGGCCUCUAUCGUCUUUCUGUCCCAGCAUGUAGCCCAUGACAUUUUCAUUGAUGGAUAGGUACAUGAACAGGGGAACAUCAUCCCUGGGUGGUACCAAAAUAGGAGCUUUGACUAGCUGCUCUUUAAUUGUAAGGAAGGACUUAUGGCACUCAUCGUUCCAUUUCACGGAGGAGUUCUUCCUUAACAACUUGAAGAUAGGCUCACAACUUAUUAUGAGUUGGGAGAUGAAUCUGCUAAUAAAAUUGAUUCUAUCCAAGAAUCCCCUUAUUUCCUUCUCUAUCUGAGGAAUGGGCAUUUCUGUAAUGGCCUUGAUUUUGGUGGGAUCCAGCUCAAUCCCCUUGUGGCUGACUAGGAAACCUAGCAACUUGCCUGAUUUGACGCCAAAGGCACACUUGGCUGGAUUCAACUUCAAGUUGUACUUACGCAACCUGUUGAAGAGCCUUCUGAGAUGGUCUAGGUGGUCUUCCUCCCUUUGGGACUUAACAAUGAUGUCAUCAACAUAGAUCUCUAUUUCCUUGUGCAUUAAGUCAUGGAAAAGAGCCAUCAUGGCUCGCUGGUAGGUAGCUCCGACAUUGAUGAGACCGAAUGACAACCGUCUAUAGCAAAAGGUUCCCCAAGGAAUGAUGAAUGCAGUUUUCUCACAAUUCUCCCCAGCAACCAUGAUUUGAUGGUACCCCGCAAAGCAAUCAGCAAAGGAGUACAUGUCGUAUUGAGCAGUAUUGUCAAUGAGUAUGUGGAUGAAUGGCACAAGAAAGCUAUCUUUGAGGCAAGCUUUAUUCAGAUCCUGGUAAUCCACGCAAACUCGCACCUUCCCUCCUGGUUUGGGCACGGGGACUAUGUUAGAUAGUCAUUCAGGGUAUGUUAACACCAUGAUGAUUCCUGCUUGAAAUUAUUUCACAAUUUCUUCUUUAACUUUUAAACUCCACUCAGUUUUUAAUCGCCUGAGCUUCUGCCUGACUGGAUUGAAUCCCUCUUUGAUGGGGAGGCGAUGAAUAACAAUGUCAGUAGACAAACCGAACAUGUCUUCAUGAGACCAUGCAAACACAUCUUGGAAUUGGGUCCAUAGAGUAACCAUGUCAUUCCUUUGUUUUGGAGUGAGGUCCGUACCAAUCUUGAUUUUUUUGGGGUUUUCUAUGGUUCUGAGGUUAAAAGAGAUGGUCUAGAUGGUCUUCCUCCCUUCGGGACUUGAUAAUGAUGUCAUCCACAUAGAUCUUAAUCUCUUUAUGCAUUAAGUUGUGGAAAAGAGCCAUCAUGGCUCGCUGAUAGGUAGCUCCGACAUUGAUGAGGCUGAAUGACAACCGUCUAUAGCAAAAGGUUCCCCAAUGAGUGAUGAAUGCAGUUUUCUCACGAUCCUCUUCAGCAACCAUGAUUUGAUGGUACCCCGCAAAGCAAUCAGCAAACGAGUACAUGUCGUAUUGAGCUGUAUUAUCAAUGAGUAUGUGGAUGAAUGACACGUGAAAGCUAUCUUUGAGGCAAACUUUAUUCAAAUCCCUAUAAUCCACGCAAACUCGCACCUUCCUUCCCGGUUUAUGCACGGGGACUAUGUUGGAUAACCAUUCAGGGUAUGUUAACACCAUGAUGAUGCCUGCUUGAAAUUAUUUCACAAUUUCUUCUUUAACUUUUAAACUCCACUCAGGUUUUAAUUACCUGAGCUUCUGCUUGACUGACUUGAAUCCCUCUUUGAUGGGGAGGCGAUGAAUAACAAUGUCAGUAGACAAACCGACCACGUCUUAAUGAGACCAUACAAACACAUCCUAGAAUUGGGCCAAUAGAGCAACCAUGCCAGUCCUUUGGUUUGGAGUGAGGUCCGUACCAAUCUGGAUUUAUUUGGGGUUUUCUAAGGUUCUGAGGUUAAAAGAGGUGGUUUGAUCAAGAUUUGGCUUGGGAUUGUCUUUGACCCAUUCUUUGAUCUCCUGAGGUAUCUCAUAGUCCUCUUGUAUUUCCACCAAGUCCGAGUCCAACUUUACAUCAAAAUUACAGUCCUUGUGGAGAAAAGGCACCUCAUUAGCAAGUAUAGGCACGUCUAACUUUAGAGUCCUGAAACAAAAUAUACUUUUACUUAAUAUAUGAAACUGUUCAAUCAUACAAAGUGUUAGCAUGUAAUGACAAAACAACUGCUAAUACUAUACAAAAAGUAAGCAGUUAUUGUUAUCUGCAGGGCAGAGGGAGUUUCUUCCCUUUUUACCAUCGUCGGCAAAUACAAUGAGUGCUGCUCCAAUUGCUAAGGGUGAAGUCCUGGUGGAUGACUGUGAUGAAGGGGCUGUUAUCGUCCUCCUUCUCCCGAAUGAUGACCAUGAUAUCUGGACAAUCAUCGUCUGGGGUGAUUCUAUUUGUACUGUCCGUAUGGACUAUGAUGCGUAUGUUUGAUAAGCGCCUGACAAUGUCCUGCUUACGCCUCUGGUCCUUUUCCUCCGCAUUCGAAUCCGGUAUCAAAAUUUCUUUUCCUUUGAUCGGUAUCGGCUGAGGAAAUAACAUGGUCAUCACAUGUGCAGGAACUUUUACUGAAGUCUGUAUAGAUUCAGGUCCUGUAGGUCGUAGAAAUCGCCGUAUGGCUGAAGAUGAAGGAACCUAUUUGUGUUUGUGAGGAUUCCUGUUGCUAGAGUUAGCGGAAUAGCCUAUUCUGGCUGUCCCUAUUUGACUGGGAACUUGAAUUGGGCGCUUGAUGCCUUGAUGGUCUUUGCCCAACCCUUGUCCAGGUUGAUAGCCCAAAGAUAACAUUUCUUGGCUUGCCGACAUUACUUCGAAGGAAACUCUGGGUAUCAGAGGUGGUGUGUAAGACCCCAAAUUAUUAAUAAAUGAAAUUUAUUUUCCUCUAUUUAUUAUUUUGAAAUAGUAAGGGUUGAUUUGAUUAAUGUGGAUAGUUAUUGGUAAAAUACGCAAAUAUUUUGAAUAAGCAAGUGGUUAUAAAAUAUUCAUUGUUGUCGGGGAAUAUUCGUUUGGUCGUGGAAUAUUCGUACUGUCGGGGAAUAUUCAUACGACGGCGCAGUCUUUUGUGGGCCCCAUAACAGAAAGCGAUUGAAUGAAGAAAACGACAAAUAUAAGUAACGGCGUAGUUGUUACCAUUAAUACUGUUGGAAUACCCGGUGGUUAAAAUACACUAAUACGCGUUGUUGAACAGUAGCACACGGUAUUGCACCAAUUAUUGAUUCUUACGUAAGAAGGCACUACUCAAUAAUUGUUACAGUAAUUACGGUUCAGUAUUUUAUUUUAUUGAUUCAAUAAUUGCUGCAUUGAUAUUUUAUAUUACUGUUGUUUCAAUAAAUUAUCAUUACACAGUAUUUUCCAUUAUCGGAGUAAUAAUUCAUAUUAUCUGAAUAAUAUUAUUGGAUAAUAUUAUUGGCAAUGUCUAGAAAUUUCUGUCUAAGGAGAGGUUUGGUAACCUAAUUGCGCGCCAGUAAGGAGAGAUCCUUAUUGGAAAGCCCCAUCUUUCCUGAGAACGGCCUGGUUGCCAGUACAGUGAUUCUGUAAUAUUAUUUAUGAAUAAUUAAUUAUUGAUUUAUAUGAUGAGGAAAAUAUUGAUUUUAUGUGGAUAUAGAUGGAGAAAAUUUUUAAUGUGACAAUUGUUGAAAAUUAAUAUUUUAUCUUUUUCUGAUAAAAUAAUUCAUUUAAAUAUAUUAUUUUAAUAAUAUAUUAACGGUGAUAUUUUUAUAAUGAAUGUGAGAUAUAUGAGUAUAUGAGGAGGAAGAGUAUUUUGGUGGCAUUAAAUAUUUAACACAUAUUUUGUGUGUUGGUAGACACAAUUAUUGACCGAAAUUUGAUUAUAGCCUGUAAAAUCGUCCGUUUAUGGAUUUCGGUCAAUUUCUGUUUGGAAUUUGGAAAAACUUUCUUCUGCAAAGUUGUAGAGAAUUGAAUUUCCUAUAAAAACUCGCCAGAUUCGAAUUUUCUGAUAAAAGGACUAUUUAUUAUGAAUUAUUGAAGUUCCAAAGUUCUGAAAUAAUUGAUUUUUGGAAGUUUUAAUUAUUUAUUUUAUGAAAAACGUUUUUUAUUAUUUUUUCUAGAAGGUUGGCAUGUGGGAAAUGUUAGGAUCUGAUUUCCAAAGAGGCGUAGGAGAAUUUAUUAUUACUAAUAUAUUAUAUUAAAUUUUCUGCUUUGGUGUUCUAAGCAAUUUUCUAUAAAUAGGGUGCUUAGGUUAGAAUUGAAAAUCACACCAGAAACUGAAGUUUUCUCUCUCUAUAUUAUCGAGCGUAUUCUUGUGAGUAUUUUGAGUAUAUUUUGAGUAUUGCUAUACGGUGCAAGUUCAAGUCAUAGCCUAUAUACGGUUUUUCAACUAGAAGUACUGUCUUUCGAGGUAAGGGAUGUUAUUUUCUUCUUAAAUGAUAUUAUUUUCUUCAAUAUUAUUAUGCCGAAAUAUUGGUGAACGUUUUUAUCAAAUUUGGAACUUUUCAUGUCGGGGUUACUAUUCAUGAGUUACUAUUCAUGAGUUACUAUUCACGAAGCAUGAUGAUAUUUUUUGUAAAAUUUCUAUCUUUUAGUGUCGAAGUUACUAUUCACGUAUACAACACUAUUCACGUAUACGGCACUAUUCACGAAUACGACACUAUUCACAGAAAAAUUAAAUUUUCUUUUAUGUGUCCAAGAUUGUCUGUUAUGAUUCCUAUCUUUGAUUGGGUCUAUGUUUUGGUCUUCAUUCUUGAAUUUUACCCCACUCUGAUUAUUUAUGAAGUAUUUUUGAACUUGGAUUGUGUAAAAUACGAAUCCUUAAUAUUUGUUCUGUUGUUUCAAUGGAUUCGUUUCCUUUAAAAUAUUUUCAUCAUCCUCAGUCCUAAAUGAUGAUAUUACUGAAUAUCUUUGGCCUGUAGUGCAAAGAUGAAUGAUUUUUUGAUGAAUAUCUUUGGCCCGUAGUGCAAAGAUGAAUAUGUGUUGAGAUGAACAUGACCGACUGAUUAAUAUCUUUGGCCCGUAGUGCAAAGAUGAACAGGUGUUUAGAUGAACAUGACCAACUGAUGAAUAUCUUUGGCCUGUAGUGCAAAGAUGAAUAUUUGAUUCCAGAUAUAUAUUGAUUGAUGUUACAGGGAUAAAAUAUCGACGAUGAACUUUUAAAUUCAUAUAUAGAAGAUAGUAGUUUGCAUUCUCUACUUAACUCUUCUAAUGAAUUAUUAUUUCCGCUGCGAAGAUUGAUUUAAAACUGGUUGUCUAUUGUAUUCUAUUAGAUUUUUCCCUGUUGAAGACUAACGAUAAUUUGUUGUAUAUUAUCUUAGUCAUAAUAUUCUUUACUGGGCUAGUUGAGCUCACCCUUUUCCUUUUUGUUCCAUUUUUCUUCUCAGGAGGCGAGAAUGUAGCGAGUACUAGUCGGGGUAUGGAAUGAAGGUUCUAGAGAGAGUUGUUUAGUAGUCCUCACCAUUUUUGUAAAAUAAUGUAUAAAUAAUUGUGAUGAGGAUUUAUUUGGGUAUGUAUAUUGUCUAGAAGAUAAUAUUUGUAUUUAAACUCACAGUAUAUAUGUUGUCGUAUUUUGCACGACAAAUGUAUUAAUAAAGUUGUAGUUAUUUUUGUACCAUGUAUUUGGCGACUCAGAAUGGGUUGGAUGGAAUGGACCUAUUUUGGGGGCGUCACAUGGUGCCCCAAGGGGAUGAUAGUGAGUGUUGCUCACCUCUAGGGCAUAGAAGCUGACAGGCUCAACUUCUGAAUUAAAAUUGACAGUGACUAGGCUAUUGUUAAUGAUGUAUUCAAGCUGCUGAUGAAAGGUGGACGGGACGCCUCCAGGCAAAUGAAUCAACGGUCUUCCCAAGAGGUUGUAUCCUGUAGCUAUUUUGAGCACAUGAAAGGAUACACAGAAUGUAUGUGGACCAAUAUCCACAUGUAGUUCAAUCUCCCCGACAGCAUUUCGUCAGGAUCCAUCGAAAGCUUUGAUAAUUGUAUGGCUUCUUCAGAAUCUGUUGAGAUUGAUAUUCAUCUUCUCCAAAGUAGCAUAAGGGCAGAUAUUCAAGGAGGACCCUCCAUCUAUCAAUACUCCUACGGCCACAUAUCCGGAGGACAUAAAUGCUAUAUGCAACGGCUUGCAAUGACCAGUCCCUUCAGGCGGUAUGUCAUCAUCAGUGAAAGAUAUCACAUUGCUGUUAAGAAUGUGAUCAACCAGGUGAUGGAACUUUUCGACAUCCACUGAUUUUGGUAAAUGAGCUUCUUCUAAAACUCUAAGUAAUACCUUCAGGUGAUCCUCUGAGGAGAUUACCAAAUCCAGUAUGGAAACCUGUUGCAGAGCUUCUUUCAAGCUUAAAACCACCUUGACUUCAUUAUGUCCCAUAGUACGGAGGAAUUGUUCAAUCUUCUCCAUGGAAACUUUCCCCUUUGAUUUGAUGGCGGGCUUUAUCACCCGUUAGGGAAGAUACAGUCGAUUCUCCUUCGACACUGAAGUAGUUGUGUGGGAUGUGGAUCCUUCAACCUCUCCAUAAUUCCAUGGAACUUUAUGUAGGCUGACAACAAGAUAUUGUGGUCUAAAUGGUAAGAUGAUUGGCUCUGGCGUAACCACUUUCAAAGGAUUCUCAACACCUUUGAGUUGAAUAGAUUGAAUUGUAUGUGCGGGGGUAGCUGAAUCUUUAUCAGAAGACAUAACCGCUACGACUUCCUUCCACUAAAUAGGAAAUGCGUCCCCACUCUCCAGUAAUACAACGUCGUUGUCUGUCAUCUGUAGGACACCGCUGUCAAUUAGAUUCUGAAUAAGGUGGCGGAGUGCCUAACAUUCUUCAGUUCUGUGACUGCGAGAAUGGGAGUGAUAUUGGCACACUCCAUUGAAAUCAAACCAUCUUGAACGCCGGCUGAUUGGAGGUAGCAGAGCUGUGAUCCUUCCUUCAUUGAUCAACAUUUGAAAUAUCUCUUCCAUCGGUUGGCCUAGGUAUGUAAAUUCCCUUUUAUUGGUGAAGUCCCGACGAGCUUUGGCAUUUGCUCUUUUUGCAAUUUUAUCCUCCAGCGUUUCAUUUUCUGGAGUACGCGGUAGAGUGUUUGUAACAAGGGGAAGGAGGCUAGCAUGCUCCUGGCUGAAUAAUUAACAUGUGACUUGGUGCUGAUGGACCACCAGUUCUGCCAAUUGGUUGACUUUCUCACACAGAGCCUUCUUUUUCAUUCCAUUAUAAACUGGAACUGUGCAUAAUCCCACUUGUCAGCACUAUCCUUGCUGGUUUGGGAAGAUCUAUCAAUGGAAUGGGACGUCUGUCCACUACUCCAAUUAAUCAUGUUAACCUCCUCUUCUUUGUGUUGAGGAAAAGGGUUGUCUUGCACAUGUGGUUGGUCGGGUUUAGUCACCACGAUCUCACCAUUGUCAAUCAAAUCCUAGAUCUUAUAUUUCAAGGCCCAACAAUCCUGAGUAUCAUGGCCUGGAGCUCCUACAUGAUAAGCACAUUUCCAGCUAGCAUUGAAACCCUUCCCAUUCGGGUUGCCUGGUGGAAGAAGAUGGGUAAUUUUCUUCUGAGUUGUCAGAAGAUUGAGAAUGUUCUCGAGCGAGUCUCCUAAGGGUGUGAACACUCGAGUGCGUCUGACUUCUCCACCUUUUGGCAAUGAAGGGUUUGAAGACUGAGCUAGAAAAGGGGAGUAGUUUCUCCUCUGAAUAGGCAGGCUUUGACUGCCUUUUUUCCCUUGUAGUAUCAUGGAAACAUCAUCCUCUUUCUUCUUAUGGACCCUCCGGGGGUUGUUUCCAUAAUUUCCAGACUGGAUGUGCUCAGCAACAUCUUUGAGAGCGGUAAGGUCUUCAAUAUUUCCUGACUUCAAUCCCAUCUCGGCCAUUUCUCUAUGUUUGAUCAUUUCGGAGAAUGGUUUGCCAAUGCCAGCUAAAAUUCUCUCGUAGAAGGGAGCCUCUUGAAUGUCUAUGAAGGUCAUCACCAUCUCAGACUCAGUCAUAGAGGGAAUAACUUGAGCAGCUAACCGCCUCCACCUUUGGGCAUACUCUCUGAAAGACUUACUAGCUUGUUUCUUGACCUUGGUAAUUUGGUACCGGACAGGAGCCAUUUGAGUUUGGAAACUGUACUGACUGAGGAACGCAUGCGCUAGCUCCUCCCAGCUAUGAAUUUUUGAGUUGUCCAAUCUGGUAUACCAUGAUCUAGCUUUAAUAGUCAAACUUUUUUGAAAUAGCUGCAUUCUGAGCUUUUCGUCCUCGGCAUAAGAUCCGAGUUCCCCAAUGAAGAUGUGACGGCCCCGAAUCCAGGUCCUAAAUCACCUCGGAUCCGGUUCGAUCAUUCUAUACAGCUAUUACUAUUUACGAAAGAUAUAAACAUAAAUUGUUUAUACAUUACAUUACACACUAUUCCCCAAGGUCCAGUAACCUUAACUUAAUACACAAUUCAUAGAUUUUCUAACAUAUAACAACAUUAAUAUCAAACUACACUAUUACAUUUCUAACUGUACGCGUCUACUAAAGCUGGAACUGUCUUUGACCUUUCCUUGUAUCCGACGUAUUCGCCUUAUCUGCAAUGUUUUAUCAUGAUAUAGCAAGGGUGAGCAUGAAAAUUGUCCAGCAAGUUAAAUUCAACAAUAUAACGAUAUAUCAUGAUUGAAAUGAUUUGAAUAAUUGGCUGGCUAUAAUUCAACAAUAUAAUUGUGAACCAGCAGGAACAAAUUUAUGACUGAACAAGUAUUAUACAUGAAUAAAUAUAUCUGAACCAACUAGUAAUGAAGGUGAUCAGCCUUUCAUACCUGACUUAUACAUGCAAUAUGUACAUAGUACAAUUCAUGGCAACCAGCAAUGAUUAACCAUAAGCUUAACCGAAUGAAACACUCUUAAUAGAGUUAAGUAAAAUAAACUUGCCUGAACCGUUGAUUACCGCAACACAAUUUAUAUCGCCUUAUCCGAAGACCUAAUAUUAGUAAUAUAGAUCUCCAAUAUUAGAGUAAUAUCAUCACAAUAUAAUAAUAUUAUAUAUAUACAUAGAAUAACCUAAACGCAUAGCACAUAAUCCUAUCAGUCUAUUCAACACAUAAAACUUAGCAUCAGGUCAGACUAUUUAAGUCUAAGUUGAAUCCGACAAAAUUCUAACAUUCGAGUUUAAGUUUAAUUAAACUCUGUCUAAACGCUUAACCAUUAUCUAAGAUAAUUUAUUAACAGUCAAAAUAUUUUUCGUAAGCUCGUAAUAAUUUUCAGAUAAUUAUUAUCAUUUAAUAGUAUUUUUAUUCAUUGUCUAAUAUUAUUAAUCAUGUAAUAAUAUUUUACUUGUUUCAUAAAUAAUAAAGGUCUCACACAUUUUAAGAUAUAAAUAUUUUAUAUCUCGAAGCUUAAAUAAUUUAUAUUCUUUUUUAGAAAUAUCUUUUACCUUUACUUGCAUAUUUGAGGUUUAAACAUCUAAUACAUAGCUUUUAUAUUAAAACUCAACUUAUUAUUUUAUUUCUUUAAUUUAAAUAAUUUUUUAUAUUAUUUUGUCCAUUCAUGAGUCAACCCAUACCGUUUUCUCAUAUAUACGUAUUUUAUUCUGCUAGCACAUUAGCUUUAUUUUUUGUUUUAUAAUUAUUCGCAUUUUUGCUUUAUAUAUUAAAUAUAUAUAUUCUGUUACGUAAAUCUCAACUCAAAAACCUCCUUUUGAGCCUCGGAAACCUCAAAAUAUUAUUUUUAUGAUUAAUACAAAAUUUUAAAGGUUUCUCGCCCUUUGUUGCACCACAAAAUAAUUUUACAGGCAACCUUAAUUUUUAUUUUGCUUAAAUAUGAAAUUUAUAUUUAUUACAUAUUUUUAUUGCUUUAUUUAUAACUGAAAUAAAGUUUCUCGGCAUAAAAUAUCACCUAUAGUCAAAUCUCGCCCCGUAAGAUUUUAUUAGAUUUAUUAUAACUUAUUAUUUUGCUGGAACGUGAUUCGGAACGUCGAACGUUAUAGUCGCUCGACGCGCCGACGCUCGUCGUUCGCUCAAAUUUUAGUUCUGACAUGCAUGUUCGGUUAUUUUUAAUUCUCGAAUCAUGAGUCAUAUAACAACGAAAUUUCAGGCGUAUUGUAGACCUCAUGGCAUAGUAUUUUAGAAAAAAUUCACACCGCGAAAGUGUAUCACGGAAACCAAUCAAAAUCGUGCGCGAAAAUCAUGUCAAACCACAGCACAGCAAGGCGCCGCGCGGCUGGGCAGGCGUGCGCGGGCGCUGCCUGGCUGCUGUUGCUGCCCUACCGUGCGCUUAUCAACCUAGCUACUUCGCGAUUUUCUCAUGCCUUGUUCAUUUAUCAGAAAAUUCUCAACUUUGGAUAUGUUAUACAUGGUAUACCAAAGUAUUUUUAAAAAAUAUAACCCAGUAAUUUUGGACCUCUUAGGCAGCCUAAAACAGACCCCAAAAAUGUCCACUCGUAACAACUUUCAUCUUUUUCCCAGAUUUACCCUCUUUCACUAAAAUAGUCAUAACAUUUUCAUUUUAAAACAUUUUUAGGCGAUUCUUGAGCCCACGCGAAGCUAACUUCCGGGACUACAACUCUUCCCUACUGAUGUUUUUCCAGAUUCCGAACAUAUCAGCCCAGAAAUUCCGUUCAAGUGGACUGCACCGCACUUGUUGGACAGUUUUGACACUACAACUUUGAAAUGUCAUAACUCUCUCCUCCGAUGUCGGAUUUAGUCCGUUCCGGAGUCUAUGGAAAAAUUAUUCAGUGUACUAUAACAUACCAAAAGCCCAGAAUUGUUAGGGCAUUCUAGAUAACCCCGAAAUUUCUGUUUAGAGGCAACAGUCACCAAUUAUUUUUUUUUCUAAGUUAAAAACUGUUUUGGUUCUUCUUUCUUUAGAUCAAACUUUUAACACCUAAAAUGUCUUGAUCUACACAUAACACACCAUAUAACAUGUAGAUCUAAAGUUUGUAAAGUUCAAGAAAUAAGUUCUUUAUCAAAUCAAACAAAAUAAAAUAAAUAAACUAAACUAGGAUUUUAUACCUAGAUCAUGUAGCUCUUCUCCUUCUCUUUACACAAUAUAGGAUGAAGCUAGGGAGCAUGAAAAAAAUUCUCUUCUUCUUCCUCCAUAGGGCUGCCUACUCUAUGCUCUCCUUCUCUCUUUCUUGUUUUGCUUUGAUAGCUAGUUUAGAAUGAAAGAUGAAAGAGAAAGAAAAUGAUUUUUGUGUAUGAGUAAAUAUGUAGAAAUAUUAUGUAUAUCUAAUGCUAACCGCACCAAAGGUUCCGCAAACCCUAACACUCAGACCCAUCCCAAAACCGAUUGUUAUCACCUAUCCACCCUCGAAGGGACCCAUCACUAUCAGCCUCCCUCAAUUGGAACCUUACACAGGAAAUCAUGCUGUGCCUUGGAAUUAUGGCAUCGAGGCUACUACCGAACAAGGGGAAAAGAUCGAGCCUGAGGUACUUAUGAAUGCUCCCAACAAUCUUCUCUCUCUCACUCAUCAUCUCAAAGUUGCUUGCAAGACUAGUGUAAGUGGGUGUUAAAUUCUUAGCUCAACACAUAUGGGGAGUUGGUGGAAGUUAGUAACAUUUUUUUUUUGACCAAUAAUAAAAAAAAAUAAAUUAACCCACAUGCUCCUUUCUCAUUGUAUAUCCGGUGCACCCCCCUUAUUAGCCCCCUUUUUGCUUUAAUUUUAAUGGCCAAAUUUGGGUAAUUUAGCUUCUAGAUAAUCCAUGUAAAUUGGGCCAAAGGUUGGGCUCUAAAAUAAUUCAUUUGGGCUUUCCAAUUUAAUAGAUUGGGCCAUGUCAAAUAUUAUGGGUCCAUCACACUAAUUUUUCAUUACCCUAAUUAUUUCAUUAGGGUUUCUAAUUCACUCAUUAUGAAAUUUAAAUACUUAGAUAAUAUUAUUAUGCAACCCAAUUAAGCUAGGUUUAAAAUAAUUAAUAAAUUGAGAUAAUAAAAUUAAUCUCUUAGGUUAGUAUACUAGUAUAAAAUUUAAAUACUAGCACUUUACACUUGUUAUAACCCUUAUGUUAUUUAAUUCUCAUUCCUAAUAUAUAAUAUUAGGUUAUAUAACUUCUUAUUCAUUUUAUUUAUAUAUUAAAUAAAUAUAUACAUAUUUAUAAUAUAUAUUUAUUUAAUAACUCACAUACUUCACAUAUACAAUCAUAUUCACAUAAUAUUUUCACGUAUUUCCUUAAUCCUGAAUAAUUCACCUAAAUCCUUCACAGAAUUUUGAAAUCCUCAAAAUUCCAUCUUAAAAACAUCAAACGCAUACACUAAUUUUCUAUCUAGGUUCUAAUUUUGAACUUUAAAUUAAUUAAUAAAAAUUUUAAAAAUAUUCAAAUUCUCGGGUUGUCACAGAAGACCUUCAAAUGUGUGUAAGGAUCUCCCAACCCGUCAUACUUUAUAAAGUCAGGAGUUUUGAAUUUCUCUAGAUAAUGCACUCUAGUGAAGAUAUAAAGGUCUGCAUAUGAAACACUCCCAUGUGUUCCAAUUCCUUUAAUAGACCGAAUGGUCUCUUCCAUUUGUAGGACCUUUUUCCUGAUAUCACCAGUGUCUGGAUCUUCUUUGAGAUGGGUGUUUUCAGGAAUUUUGUUGGAUGUGUCCAACUCAGGUGCGGGAAUUUCUUUAUCCGAACCAUGAUUUCCUCCAUGUGCUGAGGAUUCUGCAUGUACAGGCAUUCGUGGACCCUAAGUGGACUUAUGUAGUUCUUUACUCUGUAAUUUGGUUGCUUAGUCCUUCGAACUCCUCACGAGAGACGGGAGUGGGACUAGACUGACCAGAUGAAGCCAUGCUUGACUGUAGGCUCGUUGCCUUUUUGGAUUUGGAACGGGUAACAGAACCAAUUGUAUCUCUACAAAAAAACUUAUGUAGUUUAGUCUUAGUGAAUGUACACUACUAGAAAACAGUGAAUAUCGUAGAAAAAACGUUGUGGUUUCAAUCAGAAAAACGUCGUGGUUAAGGGUGUUGUCUAUUUGACACCCUUACACAACGUUUUUAAAACGUUGUAGUUAGACACCUUAUACAACGUUUUUUAAGAAAAAAACGUUGUAGAUUUGUUUUCCAUAAAUUAGUAGAUGCUUGAAAACAUUGUAGAAGGUAUGAUUCCACAAUAUUUUUUGGCUAAAAAUGUUGUAGUUUAAUAUAUCAGACAACAUUUAGACAUAUUAUACAACGUUUUUAAAAUGUUGUAGAUUGACUUGGAAAAAAAAAUGUUGUGGUUCACCUAUAUUACCAGUGCACCUGCAAUCUGCUAAUGCUAUGAUAUAUAGCUAAAAAAAUGUCUAAAUUCUCAUUUAAAUUUAAAACCAAAAUGUAUCAACCAUUCAAAAUACAUCCCAAUAAUAUCAUUCGUUUACAGUUUCAAAUUACUACAUCCACAAAAUAUUACAUUCCAAGAAGAUUCUCCAUAAAUUCGGUCAACUUAUUUAACAAAGCCUGUGUCAGUACUAAACCACCAAGAAGAUUCUCCAUUCCUUGAAUUUUCUUGCAGUUUUAACCGAGUAAUAAUUAAUAUCAAUUAUCUUGUUAAGAUUGGUAGUAACUAUGGCAAUAACCUGUCCCAAAAGAACAGAAGAAAACAAAAUUUGAGACUGAACUUGCACUUAGAGGCCUAGCCUUCUCAAAUAAUAUUGACUUUGAAGCAUAGUAGAUCUAGGUAACUUGGAAACUUCAUAAAUAGAACAAGUCAAACCUCUGCUAGUUUGUCAAAAUUAAAAUAAUGAUUUUUAGAACCACGGCUGUCUGCAAGCUUAGAUGGUUACGAUUCCACUGGGACCCCCUGCAAUAAACAAAAGUAAAAUACCCAAUGAGAAACCAGGAAAAAUACAAAAAGAGCAAUCUCUCAACAAAAAUGCAUACCAUCAUAACACACCUUCUCUCUAACAUAUCGUGGUAGAGCAAUUGAUGCCAGAUUACAUACAGCAGUUUCUGUUGGACUUGUAUACUCAAUAAUCUCAGUACACAAGUUAGAAGACUUGAUGGUUCCCAGAUUUUGUUGGUUGCUCUUUCUAUUGCAGGUAUCCUGGAAGGAAAUAAAAUAUGAGGAUAAGAGAGGGACAAAAUCACAAUACAAACAAAUAAUAGUAUACCAUAAUUGUUAGAUAGUUGCAUUUAAAAUCACCUUGAACAGCAUAUAAGGGGUCCCAGUUUCUAUCUGGGACUUCAGAACUUCAAACCAAAGAGUCUGCGCUUGGACAACCUUCUUGGCAACCAAAGAGCAUUUUGAAUUUGUUAGCAAUCAAUAUCCAAACCAUAUCCAUUAAAAAACACAUUUGAAUACUUGUUUGAAAAACUCAUUUGAGUGCAAGUAGAAAACAUAAUAAUAGGUCUAUAUCUACCUCUCUUUUGUAACGACCCCAAAAUCCAUACAAUUUAAAUCUCAACUUCGGCCGUUAACCAUACAUUAACAUUUCCUUCUUUCUUGCCCUGAAUCGCAACCUUUACAUUACAUCUCUUUGAUUCAAUCUUAUAUCAUUAAUCGUUACAACAAAAUGACUAUACAAAGUCUUACAUCAUAACUAAAUAUCCAUAUACAUUGGAUAGCUCAACUUAUAAUUCAACAACAUGUUACGUUCAAAAUAUGAAAUACAUUUCUCAUAAAACAUAAGUAAUCUUCGUGAAUAUAGAUCUCUAUAACUCACUUAGCACAUAUCUUUACCUUAAAAUCUUGACCUGCAAAAGUGGUUAUUUGCAAGAGUGAGCUCGACAGCCCAGCAAAGUCUAACAGUUUUCAUGCAUCACAUAGCACAUAAUAACAUGCUCGAUAUACAUCUCAUUAAAGUAACAUGGCAUACAUGCUUUUAAUUCACAUAGCAAAUAUAAAGAUUGAGUUCCUUACUCAAUCAUCAUUACUUAGCCAAAACAAUGCAGUCAUAUAUUGACUUUAACAUUUCAUGAUUUCAACAUGUAUAACAUAUCAUGCAAUUUAAAACAGUUCAUCAAGUCCACGUAGAAAAUAGGAACCGAAAGACUUGCCUUGAUCGUUGUUUACCAAUAACAGUUUAACAGCUUACAGUUAUCUGCACUUCACGUGCCCUACACAAUUAUAUAAUCAUACACAUCAACUAUUAGUCACAUAACAACACAUAGUAAUUGUAAUGUAAACUCUACUCCACAUCUCAUAAUCUUUCCUAUUAAUUAGCACACAAUGUUCAAUUAGAUUGUGUUAACUUUCAACUUAUAUCUCACUAUAUUUCAUAUUCGCAUUUCAUUCAAGUGCUUAAGUCUUGCUUAUUAGUUUUAUAUUAAAUCUAUUCCAUAUCUUAUAAUAUUCAUUUCAAUUGAAUGAAAACACUUUUUAAGUUCAUUAACACUUGGCACGGCGUUUCGACGUUCAUUCGUCACACGCCCGAUUUGCCUCUCUUGUGUAUGCUUACUAUGCUUCUAUAACUUAUCUAAUACAUUAUUUAUUAAUGUUAAGCAUCAUUAUAUUUACUAACAUACAUGUUUUAUAACUUAGGACAUCAUCUUUUAUGGUCAGGAGCACUACACAUGCAUAUGUGCAUGCCCGACGCCCUCCGAUUGCCCCCAAAAACACAACCGUCCUAAAGAUGACCAUUUUAACUACUGUUACAGACUUCAAAUUAAAACACUUAAAGUAUGAAAGUUGUAGGCCUAUUCGUCCUCGUUCCGGAUCAUCUUGAAUCAACUCAAUCGGAAUUCGUAUGAGAAAGUUAUAGUCGUUUUACUACAGGAGGCCAAAACUGUUCGACUUAGACUUUUGUUCCGGCGCCGCGGCGCGAGAACUAAGUCAUUCAGUGGCGCCGCAACGCGAGAUUGGUGCUGGGGCACGAAUUUCAGCGCUGGGGCAUGAACUUCUGGCGCUAAGGCGCGAAUUUCAGCGCUGGGGCUCCAUUUUUGGCGCUGGGGUACCGAAAACUAACAGAACGCAGCCCACGAAGAACAGAACAACUAAAUUUCUGUCUAUAACUUAAUUUCUAACACUAAUUAACAUGUAUAAUUUAUGUCAAUUACACAUAUACACAUUACCCAACAUGCAUAUACUAAUUUAAACUACUAAACAACAAUCACAGAAAACUUAAUUCCUUGAAAACACUGUUUUCAACCAAAACACCAUUACCGAUGUUUGUUUACACAGUGAACAUGGUAAACAUAAUUUAUAAACCAAUUUGAUUCCUUUGAAUUAUGUUUCUCUGAAUUUCUUACCCCGUUAUCAUAUACAAGGUUCAAUUUCAUAACUUCACAAUUAACAUACACUAAUUUUGUUAUCUUACAAAAAUCAUAUUCAUGCAUAUGUGUUCACUAUAAAACCAAUUCCCCUUACUUGUAUACAUAAAUUAGCAUACAAUCUUGUCUAUACGCUAAACAUACAAUCAUAUAUAUAUAUAUGCUAGUAUAACACUUACAAAAACAUAGUUUUACAAGAAUUUUGUAAAAAUCUUCUACAUAGUGAAAAAGAAAACACAAAGACAUAUAAAUUAUAUGUGUAUCUAGUAUUAAGGUCAUAGACAUACCUUUUGUUGUUAAGAAAUUUGUGUUAAACUCUUAUAAUAGCUUGAAGAACUCUGCUCUUGUUGCUUCUCUUUCUCAGACUCUCUCAAAACUCUCCUGUCUCUAAGUUUUUCUCUGACAAAACUUCUUCUCUUUUCUUACUUAGGCUUUAGCCAAAUAGAAUAUACGUAAAAUAAAAACACAAACAACGUACGAUUUUUAAAACGUCUAAACCGACGCUAUACUUAAUAUACUAAUAAAUUAUCAGUUACCAAAAUAAUAUAUAUAUUAUAUUUAUAUUUUGUUUAAUUUAAUUUAUAUUACUAAUAAAUCAAAUUUAAAAAUUCAAAAGCCAUAGGGCUUUGUUUGGAAAAAUUAUUUAAAAAUUAAAGACUUAAUAUUUUUAAGCCUUGUUUGGCAAAACUAAAUUAAACUCCUUUAAUUUAUUUUAAUAACCACUUAUAAUAAAGUUAUUUGUCACACUUCUAAUUAAUUAAGUUUUCAUACUUAAUUUAAUUAAUUCUAAUAACAAUUCAUUGCAUAAUAUAAUAAUUUAUUUGAUCAUUAUAAACUCUCUAACUUAAUUAUUAAAUUAAAUUAGAUUACUAUUUCAAAAUAAUUACUUUCCUUAACUCAUUAAUUAUUUAUUAAACAAAUAAAUAAUCAAAUCAAUUAAACAAAUACUUAUUCAACGAUAAACACAACCAUUAAAUAUUUAUAUAAUUCAAUAAAUAUUUAAAUAUUUAAUUAAAAAAUCUGGGUUGUUACAUCUUUCAUAUUGGGUGUACAUGUUUUCAAACUCUUGACCCCAACAAUCAGCCAAUCCUGGAGCCUCAUUUGGACAUAACAAGGACUGUUAACGCCUGAUUUUGUACGCCUGACGAAAUCACCAAAAUAGCAGGCCAAAAUAGCACCAACGGUUGAUGGAGUAAUUGUUGUGAAAUCAAACUCACGAAAUACACUCACAUAAACAUAAAUAAAGAAAUAUAAAGUAUGAACACAAGAAUUUACGUGAAAACCCAAUUGGGGAAAAACCACGGAGAGAGAGAGAGAGAGUAAUCCACUAUAAUAAUAUUGAGAGUACAAGUUGUGUAUUUGUGUUGUAUCUCUUGUGUCAUAUGAUAUUCUCUUCUAUUGUGUUUUUUUCUUUAACCCUAGCUUGUAACCGUAUAUAUAGAUGUAACCAAAAAUUUGCAUCCAACUAGGAGAAGGAUUCCUUAUCCCUCCAAAUAAAGAAAUACAAUCAUAUUUUAAUAAGGACUCUUCCACUGUCAUAAUAAAUACAUAUGGGCCAUCACCAGAUCCGGACCAUUAAAUAGAUUGGGCUGCACCAUGGCUAGACCCAAAUAAUCACACUCCAACAUUGCCCCCCAGUCUCUUAUUUAUAAACAACUUAUAAAUGAGAGAGUAUACAAAUUUAUCCCAACAAAACGACUAUAUUUGUCGAAGACAGAAUAUCACACCUGAACUCCAUGUGCCAAACUAAAAUUGUUGGCUCCCAAUAUCGCUGCCCCACUCCUCUUGUUCACUCAUAAGAUAGAUAAACAAUUUCCCUUAUUACUACCGAAGAAUAAAGAACCAACCUUAUCACAACCGAAUAUAUAGAGAACCAACCUUAUCACAACCAAAUAUAUAAAGAACCAACCUUAUCACAACCGAAUAUAUAUAGAGAACCAACCUUAUCACAACCGAACCAACCUUAUCACAACCGAAGAUAUAAAGAACCAACCUUAUAUCAACCGAACCAACCUUAUCACUACCGAAGACAGAUAAAUAACCCACCGAACACAUCCAACCGAACACCAAUUAUAAAGUUCGUUCCGAGGAACUAAACGUAUUCGUUCUGAAGAACCGUAUAAAUGUUUAUUUUGACCGUUUGGGAAGACGUUGGUCCGUCCCGAAGGAUAUUGUCCGAUCGAGAUGAUGAUGGUCCGUCCCGAAGGAACUUAUCCGUUCGAGAGGACGUCGGUCCGUCCAGAAGGAAGUAAUCCGUUCAGGAGGACGAUGGUCCGUCCCAAAUGAUAUUUGAUCGUUCGGGAGGACGUUGGUUCGUCCCGAAGGAUGUGAUCCAUUCGGGAGGACGAUGGUCCGUCCGGAAGGAAGUUAUCCGUUCGAGAGGACGUUGGUCCGUCCCGAAGGAAGUUAUCCGUUCGAGAGGACGCCGGUCCGUCCCGAAGGAAGUAAUCAAUUCGGGAGGACGAUGGUUCGUCCCAAAGGAUGUUUGACCGUUCGGGAUGACAAUGGUCCGUCCCAAAGGAUGUUUGACCGUUCGGGAGGACGAUGGUCCGUCCCAAAGGAUGUGAUCCGUUCGGGAGGACGAUGGUCCGUCCCAAAGAAAGUCAUCCAUUUGGGAGAACGUUGAUUCCGUCCCGAAGGAAGUUUGCCCGACCUUAUACCGCCAUCCGACCUUUUAUCCCCAAAUGUAGACAGUCGAAGACAUGAUGAAGCCGAUGUGAUAUAGUCCGAGGCAAAUUGCAAUUAUCCGAAGAGGACUAUUGUUGCCCGAAUGUCACGGGAGAGCCGCCAAAAGUCCAACAAAGUACAAACUUUAAUUGCCCCUCAGUCUCUUAUUUAUAAGGAAUUUAUAAAUAAGAGAGUAUUCAAAAAGUCUCUUCGGGAUCUUUAUCCUCGGAAUUUUUAUCAUCGGGAUUUAUAUCCUCGGGAUUUUUAUCCUCCGAAUAUAUAUCCUCAGGAUUUUUAUCCGUAGAAUGUUCAUCCUUUCGGGAGAUCAAAGCCUUCUCGAAGGACGUUUGUCCGACCUUAUAACCCCUCCGACCUUAUGCCGCCAUAAUAUCCGUCCCGACCCCUGUGGGAGGCUUUGAUCAGACUUUAUAUCUGCCAAAAGUAAACAGCCGAAGAUAUGAUGAAACCGGUGUGGCCUGAAGAGGAAUCGCCAAAGAGAUUGCCGAAGUGGUCCGAACCUAUCUUCAUCUGUUCCCAUGUGGUCGGCAGAUGUUGAUAGUGACAAAGGACAAUGAAACCUUCUAUUUAAUAUGUGGAGGUGAUUGCUCGCUCCGGCCCCUCCAUCUGUGAAAAUUAAGAGCCACACAUAUUUUAUCUGAGGCUUGUUAUUCUCCCGACGAUCAGUGUUGAUUCCAGGUGCUUGUUUUAUUUUACUGAAGCCGAUGGGCUUGGAUUGCCUUGGUUGGCUUCGAGAAACAUAUAGAAGAUGUUGCUGACUCAUGACAUGAUAGGCCCACACAAAUUAUUGUCGCUUAUGUGGCAACCCUUUUAGAAAGUUAGCAGCAAUGCAUCUUUUACUCAGCUGAAUCAAUAAUCAAAGUGAUUAAUGCUUUGAUUUAAUAUAAUAUAACAUGAAUAGUAUCUCCACCUUUUUUGAUAUAAACGAUGUAACGUGUAAAGUAAAAAAAAUACUCGGUUACAAUCAUUUAUCUCAUUUGGUGAAUCGAUGAUUUUAAAUCGACACUAGAACAAGUGUCUUGGUUCCCACAGACGACGCCAAUGUUAACACCUGAUUUUGUACGCCUGACGAAAUCACCAAAACAGCAGGCCAAAAUAGUGUCAACGGUUGAUGGAGUAAUUGUUGUGAAAUCAAACUCACGAAAUACACUCACAUAAACAUAAAUAAAGAAAUAUAAAAUAUGAACACAAAAAUUUACGUGGAAACCCAAUUGGGGAAAAAACAGAAAGAGAGAGUAAUCCACUAUAAUAAUAUUGAGAGUACAAGUUGUGUAUUUGUGUUGUAUCUCUUGUGUCAUAUGAUAUUCUCUUCUAUUGUGUUUUUUCCUUUAACCCUAGCUUGUAACCGUAUAUAUAGAUGUAACCAAAAACCUACAUCUAACUAGGAGAAGGAUUCCUUAUCCCUCCAAAUAAGGAAAUACAAUCCUAUUUUAAUAAGGACUCUUUCACUGUCAUAAUAAAUACAUAAGGGCCAUCACCAGAUCCGGACCAUUAAAUAAAUUGGACUGCACCAUGACUAGACCCAAAUAAUCACACUCUAACAAGACCAUUCUCCAUUGCUUUGGGCCCUUUCCAUAAAGAGAUCAGGAACAUCUAAAUUUGAAUGAUAUGUUGAAUGAUCAGGUCCAAUCGGGGGGCAUUAAAAAAAUUAGAAGAAAUAACAUAAAACAAUUAAAGAGACGAAAAGACUCACAAUUUCGAUUACAGUAUUAUCUUUCAAAACUUGGGCUAAUUUAGUAACCCCUUUGGUGUGAAUUUCAUUUCCCCCCCCUGUAAUCCUCAUCAUACCAUUACAAAUGGUAAGUCUAAUACCAUUUUCGAUAUUGAAUGUUUCAAUGAGUAUGAACGCAACGAAAAACUUUCUUCCUACCAGAUCGAUGUUUGUUAUUGUGCGGUUCUCCUUCAAAGCCUCCGCUACUUUUCCAGCUCCCUGAUAAUUCCAGGAGUCAAAAAAAUAAUGACAUUGAAAGAAGUAAAAAAAAAUCAUUGAGUCUGUGAACAAGUCCAAAGUUGAUCUUCCAUGUAGGUUAACCAUGUCUAUACAUAGGUCACCAAAUUCACACAUUUUCCACUGUCUACCAACAGAAAAUAUAUUAAAAAAGAAAAGAAAAAAGGAAAGGUAAGACUGUAAGAGCAUUAAAUAACCAUCAUUUCUUUCUUGUCGUCCACAUCAGAACUUUUUUAAACACACUGGUCCUUUCGUAAAGACCACGACCAACAAAAUAUCGCUCCUGGUAAUGUCAAAGAAAUUAAUAGGUUGUAUACUGCUUAAAGCAUUAGAACAAAUACAUCCCGUAAGUAAAAUUAAUGAUAACAACCAGACCAAAUACAUCUUAGCAUAUAAACUUCAUUAUGCUAAACAGGGAUAACAACCAGACCAAGAUCAUGUUUUUAGUACAUGCAUGUGCAUUGCAAGUUCAGUAGAUGAAAUGCGAGUUACUUGCUCCAUAAAAGUAUUACCACCAAGUACAAAAUUGUUAUUUCCAAAGUUAAAAAAGUACUUAAAUUCAAGUCACAAUCUCAAUUUUAGGAUUUUGUAAAGUAACUAGGAUCAAAGUCAAUUUGGGAAUCUUUUUGAGGAAUGAAGAGAGUACAAUCUCAAUUUGGGAAUACUUGCCAAUAUACUCAACCUUAAUUCACUAAUCAACCUUCUGCCAGACUUGCUUCCCUUUUGACCUGCUUUCUCAGCUGAUCUAAAAUUAAUAUACAACGCCCUUUCAGUCACAAGGGAAUCUCUCUGAUGGCAAGUGUAUUAGUGAACACCUUGUCAUGUAAAGUCCUGCUUCUCUAAAUCUACAGAAGUAACCAAAAAGUAUUUGCUUUCUCAGUUCAAAAUAUAAGGCAAAAAAACGUAACUGGAUCCUAAAUUCUGAGACAUUAUGACAACAUGGAAAAUUGAUCAUUGUACAGUUCUGUGUAGAAUGUUUGACGCUCAACAGCACCUUCCUAUGAAUCAACUAUUAACUGAAUUCCUGAAUCAUGAUCAAUCUUCAUGUUCAUUUUCACCUUCAGAAUCUGCAUAAAUAGAAAAGUAAGUCCAAUUAUAUAUCAGUUACAACGGGAGGUUCUGACUGAAGAUGCUAGUGGUCUGAAUUAUAUGCAAGAGGUUGCUGUCAUAUUAGAUCACUUGGCGAGUGCACUUUUUGAUGAACCACAAGUAUAACCCAUACUAAAUAUGAUUAGUCAUGAAUCCAUUAACAGGUUCUCAGGUUUACAGUAAAUUAAAAGUUAUAUAGAGCAUAAACUUCAUCCACUGGAACAAAGAAGUAAUAGAAUUCAUUCAAAACAAAUGCAACCAUCAGUUGAGUAGUGACGAAUUAUUUACAGAAAACCUAUGAUGCCCUUAUUAUACUUAUGGCUUGGAAAAAUGAAUAAACACAAUACCAGAGCACAUUGAACAAUAAUGCUGCAAAAUUAAAAGAAUAAGUACAUUUGUUUACUUUAACUGGUACUGAUUUGCUACACUAAUGCUUUCCUCUUAUUUUUCCCCCUUUGUGUGGGUUUUUGUUUUGUUUUGUUGGGGGUGGGGGGAAGGUAAAGUAGACUACUGCCCUAAAGACUGUCACAAGCAGUGAUGUGACUUGCAAGUAUGCCUAAAGCAAGUUCCCUCACAGCAUAACUUUGUUAACAAUCAUCAUCCAAUGUGUUAUGCAUACAUUCACAUUUCAAACCGUUCUAAGUCCCUUGUUUUGACUUACCAGAUCGAACAUCAUCACUAAGUUGGGGCGGCUAUACCAUAGCCAACAACAACAAUGCACAUCAAUAAUAAAAAAUCAAAAUAAAUAAAACUAAUUAAAUGAGAAGUUUCAAGGCUAUUCUGCUUAUACUUUGUCAAAAUGGACCACCUCUUUUUUGACAUUUACAUUACGUGAACAUAGUAUGUUCAUCAGCAAAUUAAACAGCAUCAGAAAUCCAGUUGAGUCAACUAGCCAAACCUAUUUUCAUUCAACUGUAUAAUGAGCAGAAACGUGCACCUAGACAGCAUACUGACAAAUACUCUACUCCAUGCCCACUAAGAAAAAGAGACAUGAUUUAUACAACUUCAUGACGAUAACUGCAUCCAAAUAUACAAAUAUAAGAACCAUUACAGGACUAGUAUAUCAGAAAAAAAUGGUAAGAACUGAAAUCCAACAAACAACCAUAUGCUAUUAUCAAAAACAAAAAAUCAAAUGUUUGAUGAAAAGUGAGAUGAGCCCUAUUGAACUAAUGGAUAAACAAAUCAAGAAACCUAAGUGAAGAUUAACGGUUGACAGUUAACAUAAUUCCCUUUACUUAGGACCCUAUGCUAUUCUCAAAAAACAAAAAAUCAACACAUUCAAAACUGAUUUAGUCUUCAAAAAGUCCUUCCCUAACUGUUAUGAACAAUUGCAAUCCAAACAAAUGCUCAAAUUUGAACAAUAAAUACGCAUUUACCGGAAAGUGUCAUUGAUGAUACCUGAAAGUCCGAAGUAAGUUGAAGUUUUUGGUUCUCAAAAUAAUAUUGUUUGAAUUGAUCUUCAAGCCCUAGGGUUUGAUGUAUAUGAUAAGCUCUAUAUAAUGGAGUCAAAUCAAAUUCAUCAGCAAUUCAUGUGAAUCCUUCAUCAUAUUCUUCUUCUAAAGCAUAAAUACAUUCUCGUAAACUUAGUUGACUCUGUUCUUCGGCUUGCCUUUGCUUCAUACGCAUCUCCUCUUCUCUCUGCCGCGAUGCCAAGGCUUGUCCGAUCGCUAGUUGGCCAAGGUUUCGACUCACUAUACGGAUAUCAACAAGCCAUACUCCGAACUCUUUGUUGAUUCGUCGCUCGAUGUGCGACCGGAUCGCCGAGAUCUGCUUCUCGAGCAUCCGUUGAAGCGUGGAUGACGGCGUUCUGUUGAAAAAAUCAGUCUAUCGAUUCCAGACACUUUAAGGCCAUGAAGAAGUUGUUUUGCGAGAUAUGAAGAUUUGCUCGGGAGCAAAGCUCCAUUAAUUGAACACAUAUUCGGCAAAUCUUCAAACCCCAGGGCUUGAAGAUUUGCCAGAGUUAUGUUUAGGCAUUUGUUUCGAGCUUCGACGAAGGAAUCGAGAGAGGUUAACAACCAGAGUUACGUAUGUCUUUUAAUUUUAAGUUUUCGUUUGAGCGCGUUUUUCUCUCCGUGUUUUUUACAUAGAUAACGUUUUUUUAAAAAAAUGUUAUCUAGUUAAAACCAAAAAAUGUCCUUUUAAAUAGAUAACGUUUUUUCAUAUAUAUCUACAACAUUUUGUUAAAAAACGUUGUGAAAAAAAUACUACAACGUUUUUUUUAAAUGUUGUGGUUUAAGUGUUGUCUAUUUACUACUUUGUACUAGUGGUAGAAAUAUUAUAUGAUGUGUCCGUUUAGGAGUAUUAUCCUGCGAAACGGAUGUCAGUUUGACAAGAUAAUACGUCAUGUUUUGAUAUAAAGGGAAUGCACGUACACAUUUUCCUUAUAUUUUCCAUUACAUUGAGAUUGACAUGGAAAUGAAAUUACAAGUAAUUUGAAUUUACAAGUAAUUGAAAUGUGAAAGCAUGAAGAGACUUUCCUUCACGUUUGGUUAAUCAGAGGUUGACCUAUCUUAGGCUACUCUCACGGCUUUUUGGCAUGAAGGUUCUUAAAUCAUCGCAAUUUACUCGACGGGAAGUUAAUCCGGUCUUUCAGCUGGAGCAAAUUUGGGUGGUGCCUUUCCUGAGCCUCGUUGGAAUUAGUCUUCCUACGAGUCCAGUAAUCAAACAUCGACAGGAUAGCCUCCUGGUGGAGGAACCACACAACAUGCAUUCACAUACAACGUGUCUCAUCGUAUGGAAAUGAUGACAUGUGCGAAGCACUAAUUUCACAAGCAGAUAUGGUGCAAAACACUAAGUACAAUAUGUAAAUGCAUUCGUACACAUUCAUUCAAAUGUAAUAGCGACUUAAGCCCUCUUACUAGAUGUCCCCAGUAGAGUCGCCACCUGUCGACGUCGGAAUUUUAUUUGUCCCUUUUCUAUUCUUGUCUUUUGGUGUUCUCAUGUUAUGUGAGAUUUGUUUGAAAAAAAUAAGUUGUGAAAAGGUCCGACAUGUAUAUGUCGACGAUUGGAUUGAAAGAGUCGCCGGUUGGUAUUUUUAAAUGGUUGCGCCAACUCAACCGAGAAAAGGUUUGCACAUUUACCUAGUGGUAUGACACUAUUUAAUUGGUCUGUGAAAUCGAGAUUUGUUAAGGUCCGGGGGCUUGAUUAUGCGAAGGGAAGGUUUUAGGCACCCCCCGACAUCCGUGUUACCAGGGUGAUCACCACUUUUCAAUUUAAACCAUUAUCUGAAUGUGUGUGUGUGUGUGUAGAUUAAUGUGUAAUUAUUUGGAAGUAGUGUUAUGCCUCGUUUGCACCUAUAUACAAAGGGUUUGAAUUUUGUAUAAAAGUUUAGUUUUAACAAGAUAUAGCAAUUGAGGCCUUUGAUACUUCCAUUUUAUUAUGUGUUCGGCUUAGUUGCUUUUAUUUUCGAGAUGUGAAGCAUCUUCGAGAAAACCAGAUAAAAAGUAGUGUUGAAUUCCUUGUGGGCAUGAGAGCCGUCUAUGGACAUUCAAACACCGCGAAUAAUUUACAAGCUAUGUAGAGCUAAAAAUGUCCAUCAUGGGAACCGAAUCUAGAUUCAGUAGACUGAAUCUGUGCUCACAUGAUUCCUAGGCUCACAUGAUACUGCAAUUUGUAUGGAAAGCAAUAAGUAGUUAUAUAUAUAAAAGCUGUAAAUUUAUAUACACAGGCAUGAUCAACCACCACGAAGCACCUCNNNNNNNNNNNNNNNNNNNNNNNNNNNNNNNNNNNNNNNNNNNNNNNNNNNNNNNNNNNNNNNNNNNNNNNNNNNNNNNNNNNNNNNNNNNNNNNNNNNNAUAUAUAUAUAUAUAUAUAUAUAUAUAUAUAUAUAUAUAUAUAUAUAAGUAUUUACACAUAUAUAUAUAUAAGCAAUAAACCACUGACCGACGGUCCGGGCAGACACACACACGCGACUCUCAACGUGAAUAAUAGUGUGUGCAAGAAAUGAAGAAAAGGCUUUAAAUAAAGUAAGAAGGCUUAUAGUGGACUGCUAAAGAAGACUUCAAUAACUUUAAAUGGAUGAACACUCAGUUCCCACCGGUAAAAAGUAGCCAAAUAUAAGCUUACAAGUAUUUGAAAUGAGAAAGCACUCAAUUUAUAGUGUGUACAGAGCAAAUUGGACAGGGCUUCCUCGACAUUUUCUUAUGCAAAAUGGCCACCCUAAGCCCUCUAUUUAUAGAGGGGGGAGCCGCAGGUGUACCUGCGGAAGCUGCAGAUGUACUUGCGGCUGCCCGGGGUGCCCCGGGCUCCGCGGGUCCCACUGUCUUGAAGUACGUGCACGCGUGCAACUUGAUGUCCGCUCGAACUUUCAGAACUUCAAUCCGGGAAUCCGAUCGAGGUGUAUAAGACCUUUUUUGGCAUGCUGUUGUUGAGAGCUACAUAAUGACAUGAGAUUAGAGGUUGUACAAAGUCAGGAAGAUGGGACCAUACCCAAGUCUUUAGGCUUCAAAUUCUAUCCGGUGUGCUGUCCUGUGUAGUAGUCACUUGAGAUUGGAGUUAUUGGUUCUUGUAGGACAUUCCUUUAUGUAAUGUAUGUUGAAAUGUUGUUGAGACGGCGCCAUGUGGGAUCGAGGUGGGAAAAUGACGAUUUUCCCCCUCACCGGGGUUAUCUCCAGUUUGGGCUGAUUUAGCAGUCGUUACUCAGGGCUAUCUCUAAGAUUGGGCUACUGCAAGUGCUAAAUGUCCUCAGGGUUGUCUCUGAGGUGUGCCUGUCCUCCCGAGGUUAUCUCCGGGUUUGGGAGCUAAGUGCCUCGGGGCUAUCAUCGAGUGUUGAAGCUGACCGCAGGGAUUCAAAACAAGCAUUUUCGGGGUUAUCUCCAGAACUGCAAUUGCAUGCCUCGGGGUUGUCUCUGAGGUUUGAACUGUAUCUCCCAGGGUUGUCUCCUGGAUUUGAAAUGAAGAUCUCGGGGUUGUCUUCGAGGUUGAAACUGAAACUCCCGGGGUUGUCUCCAGGACUGGACUGAAUAUCUCGGGGUUAUCUCCGAGAUGGUACACUUAGUAUCCUGGGGUUGUUUUCGGGACUGUGUUGAAUAUCUUAGGGUUGUCUCCGAGAUGUUGGAACUGAGUAUCUCAAGGUUGUCUCUGGGACUGUGCUGAAUUAACUUCCACGGUUAUCUCUGGAAGACGGUUUUGCCCUCUUGCAAAGUCAGUAACAGGAAUUCAAAAUGUCAAGUGUCUAUAGUUAGUAUAUCAAGAUACGAAAACAAUGUAGUUGGAAGGUGUAAUUUGGUUAAGAAAAAAAGAUUUGGCGAUUGAAUUCGCUAAAAGUAUUGAAAUAUAAAGAAAUUGGCAAAAACAUGAUUUUAAUCCUUUCAAUUUGGUUAUGUAAGUUGUUUUAGGUAUUAGAAUGCUUGAUUGUAUAUGCUAUAAGGCUUUAGUUAAGUUUGUAGUGUGUGGGUUUGUUCAUGUUAUUGCGAAAUUAGAAUUUUUGGCCUAGAACAUAGUCUGAAUUCGUGUUCUACAAAACUGAUUCUGGUGCUGGGCGUGGGCGCGCUGCCGUGCGGGCGCGCCAGAUUCAAAGGUAACCAUGGUGCGGUCGUGCCAGUGGUCUAUCAGACCCAGUAAUGAACUGUUAACAUCAUAGCUUAAAGAAUGUUAACUUAACAUAUUUUGAUGAUUGCAAAAGGACCUAAAACAUGUUAUAAAACCUAAUAACAUAUUGUAAUCACAAUGUUGAAACUAAAAGAUUAUGAAUUAGUAAGUUGUGAAAGUUUGUAACGUGAUGUCAUGAGAAUUUGUGUUGAUAUGCAAUCACCAUGUCAGGUACUAUUAUAUAAUUAGGAGUGCAGAUUUAUGGUACUUGAAUUAUUAAAAUAAUCAGUUCUUAAGUUAGAGACUAUAGACUUGACUAAAAUGAGAAAUGAACCCAUGAAGUUAAUGUUAACAUAACUAAUUGGUAUUGUGAUUAUAAUGGUAUAUGCAGGGUAAUUGGAAAACUUUUAUUAUACUUGUGUAGCUUACGUAUGAGGCAAGUUCCCAAACUUCAUUCUCUUUAUAAUGAAUGCAAGUUUCAUAACUAUGUUUACCUUUAAUUGUCAAGCAAGCUUUCUAACCCUAAUUUAUCAAUAUGCAAGUUCCUAAUUCUUAUAUUAAAGUUGAGCAAGCUUAUUGAUUCCAUCUUGUUUAUGAUGAUACAAGCUCUUGUAUUCUAAUUCUUUACAUUGAAUAAGUUUCACAAUCCUAACUCUCGUUCUUGCUAUUCAAAGCAUAUACUGUUUAACUUCAUUGUUCCAAAUGAGAUUUGGUAACUCUUUUGGAUGUAACACUUUUCAUAUAUACCAUGUCCAUUCAAUUGUAUAUUGUCAUUAUUCGAUCUUUGACUUAAGUAUCAUUUUUCAAUUCUAUAUUAUUGUGUUGAACCUUCGAAUAACAAGUAAGCUCUUAUUGAUUGGACAAAUCUGUAAUUGAAUAGUGUUCUAAAAUUCUAGAACCGCUGAUAAGUUAGUUCCAAACUAAACUUUUUUUAGUGCAGAAAUUCUAAAGUCAAACUGAGAUGAACAACCCUAGUAUAGGGGAUUUUGUACGCGUUAGCGUUUAGAUGUUUGUUCACAAUACAUGGUACGAAGGGCUAAUCCCCCUAAGUACAAAAGUAAAAGUCUGUAUAGUCUAAUGACUGUUAAAGGUUGAAGUAGAAAUACUUAAUAACUUCAGGACAUAGUUCAUAGUCUUAAAGACCCUCAGAUAUAAACCUCAAACUUGUUUACUAGUUUUGUCUCAAAGAACAAGUUCUUAUUUAAUCAGUAUUCAUUUCUUACUCUUAUGUUACUGCUAUUAUCACUCUUUAUAUCAGUGAGCAAUUGUUUGCUCACUCUUGCAUUUAAUACUACAGAUAAAGUUAAGAAAUUUGAUGAGGACGUUCUAGCAAAGGAAAGGGCAAGAUGUCCAAGUGAUGAAGAGUUAUUUGAAUUUACUUAACUUAAAUUAUGUCAUAAGACUUAUGUUAUUAUGUGAUAUAUUCCGCAGACUUAUGUAAUAAUUAAAGGUUAGAUUACCUGAUAAUGUUUUAAGUUGAUGUAACCCUUUAAUGGGAAGGUUAUUUAUUUAAGUUAUGUCUUUAUCCUUGUUUAUGGGUAGUUAGAUGUAAAUAUUUUAGAAAGUGAGCACCAAAUCCUAUGGGAAUGAAGUACUCGGAUUUGGGAGUGUCACAUGUUGGUAUCAAAGCUUUAGGUUAUGAACCUUAGGUGGGGAAAAACCUUAGAAAGUAACCUUUAAUGAGAUAGAAAACAUAGUGGUGACAAACUCUUAUCGAGUUUUAAGGAAUGAAUUGAAGAAAUUCAUUAAAGAUAAGCAAUAAAAGACUUUAUGUGCUAUGUGUUAAUAACUUAUGUACUCGCGAGUAUCGAAGAGUAUCACGUGAUAAGUAAAACUUAAAAAUAUUUUGUUGUUAGGAUGUUUAACGUUGAAGGAUCCAGUCAAGCUAGGGAAGUGAUACCUCAGGUACCUAGAGAUGAGGAAUCCCAAGAUGUACAUGUGGUUCGAGAACAGUUGAUUCAGAGGGAGCCUUCUCUCUUGGUUGUUGAGGAAAAACAGGAGGAUGAACCCGUGUCUGAUCCUGAGGAGGAGAACUCUGAGGAGAUAGAGGUGGAGGAUGAGGAAAAGGACCCUGUGGAGUUUCCACCAAACUCUAUAUCAGCUGAGAUGUAUGAUGAGCUAUACGACCAUAAUAUAGAAUUGCAGGAUAAGGUUGAGGAGCUGAAGGAGUUAGCUGAGAAGAGUCAGGCUACUAUAGAGCAGAAGGAUGCGGAGAUUCAGGAACUCAACUCACGUCUUGGAAACACGGAGUGGAACCUAGUUCACAUAGAGGGACAUCAAGAGGAGCUGUUGGCUGAGAAUGAGAAGAUGAAGAUUGAAGUGGAAAAGCUGAAAGACGACUUGAACGAGGAGUCAGCUAAGCGUGCAAGAGCAGAGGACGCUUGGAUGAAAGCUACUCAGCGUGCAGAUCGUGCUGAAGCUAAGGUUCAAACGAAGAAGGCUAAGAUGAACAAAAUGGAUCUUGCCUUUCAUUCUGCGAUCGAUAGGGCCCAUGAUCGAGUCUUUUAUUACCCACCUUAAUUUGAAGACUUGUCGUGGUUUGUGACGGAUCGUAGAAUGGCAUAUUAUAUUAUGGAGGAGGAGCGUAGAGAAGCCUCUCGACGUCUUAAUAUGCCGAGAUAGGAAUAAUAAUAAUAAUAAUAAUAAUAAUAAUAAUAAUAAUAAUAAUAAUAAUAAUAAUAAUAAUAAUAAUAAUAAUAAUAAUAAUAAUAAUAAUAAUAAUAUGUGAUGAAGUAUAUGAAUAAAUAAAUUGUAAAUUCCUUAUUUUAAGAUAAAUAAAGGGGUAGUAUGAGUAUGUAAUCCUGAAACUUGUCUAGUUCAGGAAAGUGGAUGUUAAUAGCAGAGAUGCUAUCCUUAUUAUGUUUGGAAAGUUAUGAAUUAAUAAAAAUAUCGAAGUUUAUUGAAAUGUUAUGUGUUAAGAUUUAAUCUUAGAAUGUUUAAAGUUAAACUUUAAAAUAUUCAAGGAAUUGAAUAAUAAACUAAUAAGUGUAAAUUUUAACAGAAAAUGUCUCCUAGAAGAAGAUAACCACGUCAACAACCACCUCCUGAGGGGUCUACUAAAAAUAACAAUAGCGAGGCCAAUGUUAACCCGGUUCAGCAAUUGGUGACUUUGUUAACGGGAGCACUUGCGAAUCAGCCGCAAGCUCAAGCUACAACUUUCAAGGACUUCAAAGUGGUUGGACCGUGAUAAGUGGAUUUUAUAUCCGCGAAUUGAUGUCCAUUUUAAGCAUAAUCGUUGUUAAUUCUUUGCAUUCAUAUUAAUUCUUACUUGUUUCUUGUUAUUUCAUGUGUAGGGUAGUUGGUGUGGCGAAUGAUGAUAAAAGGAAGCAUUUGGAGCACAAUUGAAGCAAGUUUGGAAAAUGGCCAUAUUCAGUUAACAGGAGCCAUGCCCGCCAGGGUGAGCCACUUUUGCCUAUACACCCCCGCCGGGGCGGGGGUCCUGAAUUCUGGGCAGUCCUAGCGUGCUUCGAACUCUGCUGGAAGAUGGACUUGAGGACUUGGCAUGGAACUUGGACUCUAUAUCGCAUGGGAUUUCG